CUACGGGCCGCUGCAGUAGGGAAUCUUGCACAAUGGACGAAAGUCUGAUGCAGCGACUCCGCGUGGAGGAUGACGCAUUACGGUGUGUAAACUCCUUUUCUGGGGGAAGACGACUGACGGUACCCCAGGAAUAAGGGACGGCUAACUACGUGCCAGCAGCCGCGGUAAUACGUAGGUCUCGAGCGUUAUCCGGAGUUACUGGGCGUAAAGCGUCCGUAGCCGGGCUAGUAAGUCUAAUUUCAAAGACCGGGGCUUAACCUCGGAAAGGGAUUAGAUACUGCUAAUCUAGAGGUAGAUAGAGGUCAAUGGAAUUCCAAGUGGAGAGGUGAAAUUCGUUGAUAUUUGGAGGAAUGCCGAAAGCGAAAGCAGUUGGCUAGAUCUAACCUGACGGUCAGGGACGAAAGCUUGGGUAGCAAACAGGAUUAGAUACCCUGGUAGUC
Molecule: ribosomal RNA, 440 nt
Filed under: uncultured bacterium
Lineage: Bacteria
Description: partial 16S ribosomal RNA
Rfam family: Bacterial small subunit ribosomal RNA
Source: RNAcentral